GAUGAACGCUGGCGGCGUGCCUAAUACAUGCAAGUCGAGCGAACAGACGAGGAGCUUGCUCCUCUGACGUUAGCGGCGGACGGGUGAGUAACACGUGGAUAACCUACCUAUCAGACUGGGAUAACUUCGGGACACCGGAGCUAAUCCCGGAUAAUAUAUUGAACCGCAUGGUUCAAUAGUGAAAGACGGUUUUGCUGUCACUUAUAGAUGGAUCCGCGCCGCAUUAGCUAGUUGGUAAGGUAACGGCUUACCAAGGCAACGAUGCGUAGCCGACCUGAGAGGGGGGUCGGCCACACUGGAACUGAGACACGGUCCAGACUACUACGGGAGGCAGCAGUAGGGAAUCUGCCGCAAUGGGCGAAAGCCUGACGGAGCAACGCCGCGUGAGUGAUGAAGGUCUUCGGAUCGUAAAACUCUGUUAUUAGGGAAGAACAAAUGCGUAAGUAACUAUGCACGGCGUGACGGUACCUAAUCAGAAAGCCACGGCUAACUACGUG
RNAcentral lists this ribosomal RNA (497 nucleotides) under uncultured bacterium. RNAcentral's name for it is "partial 16S ribosomal RNA". It matches the Rfam family "Bacterial small subunit ribosomal RNA", at positions 28 to 507 of the family's 1533-position model. The record is from RNAcentral.